This 71-nucleotide transfer RNA is filed under the name Marmota marmota marmota (Alpine marmot). It matches the Rfam family "tRNA". Rfam says of the family: Transfer RNA (tRNA) molecules are approximately 80 nucleotides in length. Their secondary structure includes four short double-helical elements and three loops (D, anti-codon, and T loops). Further hydrogen bonds mediate the characteristic L-shaped molecular structure. tRNAs have two regions of fundamental functional importance: the anti-codon, which is responsible for specific mRNA codon recognition, and the 3' end, to which the tRNAs corresponding amino acid is attached (by aminoacyl-tRNA synthetases). tRNAs cope with the degeneracy of the genetic code in two manners: having more than one tRNA (with a specific anti-codon) for a particular amino acid; and 'wobble' base-pairing, i.e. permitting non-standard base-pairing at the 3rd anti-codon position. Lineage: Eukaryota; Metazoa; Chordata; Mammalia; Rodentia; Sciuridae. RNAcentral also lists the same sequence under 1 other name. The record is from Rfam by way of RNAcentral.
GGGGUUGUAGCUCAGUGGUAGAGCACUCACCUAGCAUGUGUGAGGCACUGGGUUUGAUCCUCAGUACCCCA